AGAGUUUGAUCAUGGCUCAGGAUGAACGCUAGCGACAGGCUUAACACAUGCAAGUCGAGGGGCAGCACGGUGUAGCGAUACACUGGUGGCGACCGGCGCACGGGUGAGUAACACGUGUGCAACCAACCCCGUACCGGGAGAUAACCCGCGGAAACGUGGACUAACAUCCCAUGACACUCGAGAGCCGCAUGGCUCUAGAUUUAAAAUUCCGGUGGUACGGGACGGGCACGCGCGACAUUAGGUAGUUGGCGGGGUAACGGCCCACCAAGCCGACGAUGUCUAGGGGUUCUGAGAGGAAGGUCCCCCACACUGGAACUGAGACACGGUCCAGACUCCUACGGGAGGCAGCAGUGAGGAAUAUUGGUCAAUGGGCGAGAGCCUGAACCAGCCAAGUCGCGUGAGGGAAGAAUGGUCUAUGGCCUGUAAACCUCUUUUGUCAGGGAAGAAUAAGGAUGACGAGUCAUUCGAUGCCAGUACUUGACGAAUAAGCAUCGGCUAACUCCGUGCCAGCAGCCGCGGUAA
RNAcentral lists this ribosomal RNA (522 nucleotides) under uncultured bacterium. RNAcentral describes it as "bacterial SSU rRNA". It matches the Rfam family "Bacterial small subunit ribosomal RNA", at positions 8 to 523 of the family's 1533-position model. The record is from RNAcentral.